RNAcentral lists this unclassified non-coding RNA (3722 nucleotides) under Zerene cesonia (dogface butterfly). RNAcentral's name for it is "septin-7, transcript variant X9". Lineage: Eukaryota; Metazoa; Arthropoda; Insecta; Lepidoptera; Pieridae. The record is from RNAcentral.
CCCGCGCGCCUUGUCUGCACCGCGCGAGCUGUCAAACCGCCUCCGACGGGCACCCCGCUCGAACGCACCUAUAUUGGCCGAACUCGCGAUCGGUUUCUUGUUCACAGUGUGUGAUUCGUAAUACUCGCAUGACGAAUAACAAAUUAAGGAGAUGAACGGCAGUGCAACGACGGUGAAUGGUGGCGCCGUCAAUGGCACCAAUGGAUCUCUCAAUGGAAUCGGAGCCGCUCCUCGUACAGCGACUCUUGGGACUCCGAGUAGCUAUGCGUAUACGUCCAGCGGCUCGCUACUUGGCAGAGGAGGUUCCGCUAGGCCCGUGCCACCGCCGACAUUGCCAAAAUAUAGUGGAUCGUUCAGUGCUGGAAGCACGUUAAGCUCGACCGGGUUGAGGGAGAGGGACAGAGAGGGUACUGGUGGAUCACAUCGACUAGCAAGCUUGGAAAGACUAGCGCUUCGACAGCGCAUUAUAGAACAAAAUGCAAAUAAUCAGGUGGCGAGCACUUUAGCGCCGAAUACUGCAGCGACGAAUGGUGGACCUACCUCAGCCACCGUUACCCUUACCGAUACAGCCACCUUGCAAAGUAAACGCGAGCUGUUCUUCAAGUCGGAAUCGGUGAGCAGCGGCGGAGUGAGCGCAACGGGGCUGCCGAACGUUGCGCCGCCUGCUCCGCCGCUUGCGCCUUCCUCUAUCAAGGACGCGCUCGCGAAGCGUGCUGCGACGCUACCGGAGCCCCAAGAGAACAACCAUUUGGAGGCGAAUGGGACUGCUCCUCCCAAUAAAUUGAGUUCCAGUGCAUCGGUGGACGUUGGGAAGAGUGCACCACCACAGAUGCCAGCGCCGCCGGUACCAACCUCCGCGCCGCCACCAGCACCACUCAGAAGUACAGAAAACAUUAUAAAGAAACCAGAUCAUCCACCAGUUGCACCUAAACCGGACAUACCUAAGAUAGAAAAGCCUAAGACCAAAGAAUUAGAUGGAUAUGUCGGAUUCGCAAAUCUACCCAAUCAAGUGUACAGAAAGGCUGUUAAAAAGGGAUUCGAAUUCACAUUGAUGGUUGUCGGUGAGACCGGUUUGGGCAAGUCGACAUUAAUCAAUUCGUUGUUUUUGACCGAUGUGUACGAUAAGGACAAGCACCCCGGGCCUUCGCUGCGGGUCAAGAAGACGGUCGGCGUCGAAACCAGUGUUGUGCUCCUUAAAGAAAAUGGAGUUAACCUAACACUGACUAUCGUGGACACACCUGGGUUUGGAGACGCUGUUGAUAACAGCAAUUGCUGGCAACCCAUUAUCGAUUUCGUGGAGUCUAAAUACGAGGAGUUCUUGAACGCCGAGUCGCGGGUGACCCGCCAGGCGGCACCCCCAGACACGCGCGUCCAUUGCUGCCUGUACUUCAUCGCGCCCAGCGGCCACGGGCUCAAACCGCUCGAUGUAGAGUUCAUGCAGCGCCUCGGCGAUAAGGUCAACAUCAUACCCGUCAUUGCGAAGGCGGACACUAUGACGCCGGAGGAAUGCAAGGAUUUCAAAGAACAGAUAAUGAAAGAGAUCGGCCAGCACAAGAUCAAGAUCUACGACUUCCCGGAGAGCACGGGCGAGGAGGGCGAGGCGGCGGACGCGACGAAGGCGCUGCGCGCGCGCGUGCCCUACGCGGUCGUCGGCGCCAACACCGUCAUCGAGCAGGACGGCCGCCGCGUGCGCGGCCGCAAGUACCCCUGGGGGAUCGCCGAGGUUGAGAACCUCGAACACUGCGACUUCCUGGCGCUGAGGAACAUGGUGAUACGAACUCACCUCCAGGACCUGAAGGACGUGACCAGCUCGGUUCAUUACGAGAACUACAGGUGUCGCAAGCUCGCUGGCCUCUCGCAUGACGGCAUCCCGCACAGAAUCAACUCGAACAAGAAUCCAUUAGCUCAAAUGGAAGAGGAAAAGAGAGAACAUGACCUCAAGAUGAAGAAAAUGGAGAGUGAAAUGGAACAGGUGUUCGACUUGAAAGUGCGCGAGAAGCGCGCCAAGCUGAAAGAGUCGGAGGCGGAGCUGGCGCGGCGGCACGAGGCGACGCGGCGCGCGCUCGAGGCGCAGGCGCGCGAGCUGGAGGAGCGCCAGCGCGCGCUGCACGCCGAGCAGGCCGCCUGGGAGCGGGAGACCGGCCUCUCGCUCGACGACCUGCGCCGCCGCUCGCUCGAGGCGAACAGCAAGGAGACGGUGGACGGCAAGGAUAAAAAGGAUAAGAAAAAGAAAGGUAAAUAUUCGACAUAUCGUAAUGUGUUGAAGAAAUAUACCUUGUAACUUGUAACAUGAAAUUGCUAUAUCGUAUGGCGUUUCGUGCCAUUAACUUUAAAAGUGCCAUUUCAGGAAAAUAACGGAGGAUUCUUUUGGUUUCUUGCUAAUACUAUUGGUCAUUUAAGAAUGUCACAAGCGGAAUAGCCCUAUAAUGACUGAAUGUCACGGAGUGUGGCGCGAUUAGUAUUACGUUCCCUAUAAUAACGAUCGAACAACGAUUACAAAAGACUACAAUGAAUUUAUCAAUGUAAUGAUCCAUCGUCAGUUAAGUAAUUAUAAUACAGGAUUGUUUGACUUUCUCGUAAUACAUUUUCCAUGACAAAGCAUUUAUUUCGAUAAAGGCCUAAUUUUGUAUAAUUUUUAUUUUUAAUGUUUUUUUAUCUACUGUUGGUAAUGAAAACCUCUUAUGUCAUCGAUAUAUAUUUUUAAGCACAACAUUUUUGGCUUUUAAUUCGACAAAUACGUCCGCCAAGUUGCCAAAGUAGUGUAUGAUUAGGAAAAUGAUAAUUAUACAGCAUUUUACCACCCGACGUCUGUAAAACGUGUUUUAUAAAAAUCGCUCAACAUCGGAAACUACUGUUUUUUAAUUUCUCCUCGCGUAGUUAUUAAACGCUAGUGUCUCAAAUUUUAAAAGUUAAUUUCUUACGUAAACUAUAAGGAUUCACGAUUUAGUAGUGAUUUGAACAAUUUAUACUAGGAACACAAUUCUAAAUUUUGAAGUGGAUUUAGAUAUUUUUUAUAUCUUUACUAAAUUAUUCAUUAAGCUUAAUCGAGACAGCAAUUUUCGUGGUGUGUUGAGUGGCACGACGUUUGAUUACACAUCGGUAUAUUGUGCUUAGUGAUAUUCAAGUAUGCUCAUAGUUCAGUUGUGAAAUAGCCUCUAGCUUUAGCUAGGAUAUAGAAUUUCUUUAUAUUACGUAAUACGUUAGGUGAAUGUGUGAGAACCGCUGGCCAACGAUAGGGUUAUCGGACCGAAUCCAAACAAACUGCCUUCAGUUAUUCCUAUUGUAACAAAUACAGAUAUUCUAUACUGUUGUGAAUGAUACGUAAUUUAUGUUAUUCCAUAUUAGCCUCUUAGACUAUAAUCUAUAUUAUUGACUUUUCCUGUAAAUAUUUCGUUUAGACUUUACAUGACAAAGGUAUAUUCAAGUUGCUCUUAAUCACGUUACUUUUGUGAAAUUGCAUAAUCUUUAUUUAAUCUAUAGCAUGGUUAAAUGUUUGUAUUUCAAACACCACAGUAUUGACUUCCGCGUUGAAAUUAGUAUCGUAGAUGUAAGUGUAAUGCUUAAUUUUUAUAUUUUGUGUAGGGUCGCGACCCAAUUUACCGCAUAGAUCAUUUGCACAGUCAUAACAAGGGAUGUGAUGUAAGUUGGAAAGCGAUGACGUUCAGACGAUGUAAUAUAUUGUACCUUUGAAUAAAUAUAAAUAAAUACGUAAUAUAUAGGAA